GAGAGUAAUUCUUGCCUGUUGGUAAGAAAUGCUUUUGUUCUGGUUUCUCUUUGCCCACCAUGGAGAAGGGAAAAAAAAAGCCACAACACUGGAUCUGUCCCAUUGUCAUGGAGUUAUCUGAGUCCGUGACAAGGGGGGAACAGGCCCGGAAUAAAAAGGAGAGACAAAAGGGCGACGAAAAAAAAAAAAGGGCUACCAGCAACGUGCCGCGCGAUCCGGCCGGCCCCGGGCUCACAGCAGGGCGCGCUGCGGGCCGCGCUCCGGGACGGGGAGUGGGACGAAAGGGCAGAGAGCCGGCAGAUGGGUUUAACAAAAGGAACACACCGGCAACGAUGUGAGGAGGAACGGUAAUUCACUAAAUCCAACGAAAUCAAACCAGAUGAGAGAGAAGAGUACCCGAAGCGCGAGGGAGGCACGUGCCCUUCUCCGCAGCGAGCGGAGGGAUGGACGGCCGGGAGCUCCACCUCACUUCCCCUCCGCGCUGAGUCUUCCGGGGAUGGCGCCUCUCCUCUCCCAUCAGAAUACUCAAAAUGCCCAUAAGAGGCAGUAAACGGAACCAGAACAUGAAGUCUUUAACUCCUACUGGUUCACGUGAUGUUCUGGUGUGGAAUACUGACAACAAAAAAAAUCACCAAACAGCAAACUGAUGUUGCAGGUGUGCUUUGGUGAUACCUGCUGUGCCACAUGGCUUCUAUUUACUUCAGGAAAUGAUGUGCAGUAAAAAAGAUGUGGCAUUUGCCACCGAAUUAAAAAUAAUAAUAAUAAAAACAGCAGCUUAAGUUCUUAAUGAAAAAAUCAGGUUUGUUUAUCUUUGGAGUAGCUAGCUUUAUAUUUAGGAGGCUAUAUUUAUUUAUUUCUUUUUCACCCAUUCUUUCAAAAUUACCUAUUCUUGUCAAAUUGAUUAGUGCUGUUAUUUGGUAGAACUGUGUAUUGAUAACAGACCUUUCCCAUCUCUGCAAGCUUCUUUGAGCUUAAUUUACUGUUUUGUGCAUAUUAGUUGAGUCUAAACUUGGCCGCUCUUCCUUUACCACUAAUGAUUUUUGCAAAAAGAGGUUGGUGAGGAGCAGGAACAAUCUGCAAAUUUUGGAAGCCUUCAGUAAUUUUCUCUGUAUAGUGGGCUGUUCUGCUCUUUGCAUUUUGAUCACAUAAUCUCACUGUUAUGCACUGAAUGUGACAUCAUCAUCAUUGAUAGUUUUCUUCUUGGGUUAAAAAUAUACAUAUACACAGUAUUCCUCCACCUGGAUUAUGUUUUGUCCUUGGCUUCUAAGUUCCAAGCUCACCUUUUCAAGUGUAUUGUCUCUUUGCAGCCGGGUCAAACAAGGUUUGAACUCUAAAUUUUAAACCUGUCUGAGCAUCUCAAAGUCUCUUACAAGGUUAUUUUUAUUUUACUUAUUUCCGUGGUUAUUAUCGACUCAUAAUGACUUCUAGUUCUGGUAGUUAACAGUUUCAUGGAAUAGAGCCUUUUGAGGAUUGUUGUUCCAAAUCAUUGUAAUCGUACCAGCUAUAUCAUCAGCAGUGAAUGCUAAAGCGUGACUCUGUGUAGUAAAUAUUGUGAACCUCACCAUAACUUGGCAAUGCCUUUCUGAAGUCUUACUGCUAAUGUAGGCAGCAAGUUUAAGUACUUGAAUGGCGUCAGAUUGUCCCGUAACCUACUUUAUCAGCUUUUCAACAGUCACAAGAUUUGCAGUGUUUAUUUCCAGCCACUGUAUCAUUUGGCUCAAAAAUGAUCUCUUCCUGCUUUCCUCUUACUGCUAUUAAAUUGUCCAAGUAUAAUGUGGUUCAACUGCCAGGUUUACUUUUGUCUUGGAGUUGUAUAUUUUGCCUGUUUCUCACUCUUACUAAGUACCAUUUUUGUCUGACACUCUUUUAUUGAAGUGAUCUUUUCCUGUUACGAAUGUUACUUUUAGCAGCUACUGUGCAAGUCCUCAUUAUUUAUUAAAUUUUGAGCUUAAAGUUGUCAUGAAAGCCAAAGAAAUGUACAGCAGCAGUGAUAGCUGUUUGCAGUCACUUCGUGCACUGAUGCAUGUACUUCAAUCUGAUGCAUUUAUAACAUAUUUUCAAGAUGAGUUUGUAAAUCCUGCUCUAUGAGGGGUUGCACAUGGGCCUUCUGGCUAAACCUGAUUGAGUUUUGUGGCUUUCCCAGGUGGAGCUGCCCGUUCAGUCCCACUAGGGGGCGUCUCUUACGUGCUUAACGCUGCCUGAUUUCAGGGGAAUCCAUUUUAAAUACGCGAUGGUGCUGAGGAGUUAAGUGGCUAAGCAGCCCUACCGCAGAUUCUUCCAUGCUGGAAGUCUGGAAGUCUGGUUGUUUUCCAGAAGGGGAGAAGUUACUAGAGUAUAAAGGUGAAGGAGGAUGGAAUGAGCUCUUUGUUAUGACUCAGGCUGAACUCCGUGCAAGACCUGAUAACAUCUACCUUAACAUCAGACUUGUUGCAUUGUACCACUCACAUAAUAAAUUAAGAGAUGCUGUGCUCCUUAUUCAGGAGGCAGAGAAGAAAACAGCCUUGGAGAUGAGCUUGGAAUGGUGUUCCUGCACUGUGAAGACACUUGAGAAAGAUGGUGGUUCCUUAUCCUCUGAUGAACUUUAUUCUUUAGUCCAGGACAUGGAAUUUAAUACACAGAAUUGGAGAGCUAUCAAGAGCGCUCAUCUACUGGCUCAUCCUAGCUUUAUUAAAAUGAAAUUUGUUUCUGGAGAUGUUCAUCAAUGGAGAGAGGCACUUGAAAGUUUUGAUCAUCUCCUUCACUCUGUGAAACAGCAUGUGAGAGAACCUGAGGAGCUGUCUUACACCUUCCUUGAAAUGAAAGGACAGCUAUACGUGCAUGCUGGAACAUUUCUGCUAAAACUGGCCCAGAACAGUGAGGCUCAGUGGACAGAUGCAUGUCAACUGGCAGCAUUGUGUUGCUUGAAAAGUUUCAAUGUUCCUAAACCCUAAAGUCGAAACUAAUAAAGGGGGAUCCUGCUGGACAAGACAAGCAGGAAAUUUUGGCUUGUGAUUGAAAAAGCCAGUCUGGUCAUAUGUUGCUGAACAUAUGGCAAGGAAUAUUUCUUGAAAGAGACUGUGGAAUCUUGUGCCAACACAAGGGGCUUAUUGACAUUGUUUGAAAGCCUCUUUGGGAGGGGAGCUUCUCAAGAGAGUUCUUUCCUUGGCACAGAUGAGAUAGGCACUGUCAGUACACAAGCACCAAUGCAAGAAAAACGUAAUAAAUACAAUACUGGUGCUGUUCAAAUGCACAACGAUAGUAUCCAGCACCUUGUGUGGCUCGGUUUGCAGUGGAACUCUAGGCCAGUGUCACCCUCAACGCGGCAUCUGUUAAAACAACUUUUCCACUUGCCCUAAGAAACAUCAAGGCAUGAGACAGAUGCUCCUGAAUCCAUAUGCCUGUUAGAUCUUGAAGGCUCUAGCCUGGCUCACAUUUCUGUGACCAGAGGGAAUACAUGGGACAAAGUAUCUAUUACUGGAAGAAAAUUCUGAUUACUUUGGAAACCAUCAAAAAGAACAAAAGUAUUCCUGAACCAACUGAAUGUGCUGCAAGUUUCAAAGCCAGCAGUAAUACUGCACAAGAGAAAGUUAGAUUAGCCUUUGCUAAAAAGGAAGGCCAAUGGGACUGUAACAUCUGUUCAGUGAGAAACAAACCCACUGCGUCCUAACGUUUAGCCUGCCAGAAUCCAAGCAAAACUGAUACAAAAGCAUCUCUCCAACAAUUUUCCUUUAAAUCUGAACAAGUAGAUGCUCCAAAGAUCACUCAAAAUUACUUGAGAACUGCUUUUCCUACAGCUGUUCUAUCUGCCUAAUCCAAAACAAAGCAAGUGAUGAAAAUUGUUGUUCCUAUAAGAAUCGAAACUCGCGAAGUCAACCUAAUGUGCUAGUAUCCAUUGUUCAGGUGGAUUUUUAUACAUAUAUAAUGUGUUCAUAUGAUAUAUUAUACCUGUUAAAUUUCAGAAGACUGAGAGCCGUAUUUUAUUUGUUUUGUUAGCAUGGAAGUAAAAGGUGACUUCUGGAACAGUAAAAGUUUCAGAAACAGCUACCAUGGUAUUACGUUGAGAUUAGUUAGUAAAAAGCACAGAUUUCCCAUGAGUAAUUUGAAACAAGUCCUCUUCAGUUGCUGUUUAAUGUCUUCUGGAAUUUCAAAAAUGCAAAGCUAUUCAGUAUUACAUGUUGCUGCAGACAGCUUUUCUUUUUUUCUCAGUCCUGGAUUUUGAUUCUCCACCUCUGUGGAUGACACUUCUAUAGCUCUUCUCCAUAAUCCUGUAUUAUUUAAUGUAAGGACAUAAAUUAUCUUUGAGACAGUAUAAAGACGCAGGCUUGUUCCUGACCUGGACUUGAAUUACAAAGGCAGUACUAUAAGACGUAAUUGGGCAUGGAGAUUGGAACUUGUUACAUUGCAACAUGAUCUGUAACUUGUCUGUCCCAGCAUUCUCUAACCUGAACGGCUUUUUCCUGUGGACAAAGAGAAAAUGUGCAGGCUCCAAAUCUGUUUCUCACUACCUACAAAUUAAUUCAGUUCAGUAAUCAGGGUGUUGUGGGGUUAAUGUUGCUAUUGUUCUGAAGUAAUUGAAUCUUCAUGUUAUGUUCAAUUUCUGUCCAAAGCUGAGAUGAUGACUGUGCCAUCAGAUGAUCCACCAUCUGAUGAUGUUAUAAUUGUUGAUGAGCUAACACUCACCCCAGAGCAGAGAGCUCUAGCUGGCUUUCUCAAGCUACCUUCAACAUUAUUCUGUUUUGAGAAUAAGCCUGAAUACAUACCUGAGGAGGAGGAUGGUAAAGAGUAUCCAAGUUGAUUUUUGUGUUGCUUUUUUUUGUGGGGAAGGGGUAUUGUACUAUUAGAACCAACAGACGCUGAUAUCGUUUGGACUGAUGGGCAGUAAUUCUCCUUCCAUCUGCCUUUUGGGCAAGGAUCAUGUGUCUCCCUUCCUAAAUCUGUUGUGUAGUACUCUUAAUAAAAUUCCCAAGGUGCUUGUUUUCUGAAAACACGAAACCUAUGCCAGACAUCUAGGCUGAAAAGCUGCCAAUAGUGUAAUAAAGCACCUGUACACAAAUAGGAAUGGGAAGCGUACUUGCUGAUGUGUAAAGCUCUUAAAACAUAUGCAGAGGUUUUGUAUGCUUGCUGGGCUUGUAAGUCUUAAAGGCUUAACAGACUUAGACUUCUCUGUAUUUGGAGCAUCACUGAGAACUUCCACUUGUUUCCUAUAUUUAAGAUGAAGACUAUGAAGACUAUGAAACAGCUGUUAAGAAAGUGAACGGAAGAUUGUAUCAAAUCAAAAAGGGAAAAGGAAAUUGCAAGUAAGCAUCACAGGCAAGACUGAAUUGGAAAGUGAACAUGCUGCUACUUUGGAAAAUCAGCCAGCUCCUGGGGAGAAAGCUGUAGGAGGAACUCUGCAGGUUCCUUCUACAUCUACCUGGGGCAUUAACAGUGAUGCUGAAGAUGAGAAUCCAGAAGACUCUUAGACGGAAGUUAUAAUUCAAAACAUGAAAAUACAAAUGAAGUCUUUACAAAAGGUUUUGUCACAUAAUUCAUAGAAUUAUUCUCACAUCUCCAAGACAUGACUAUUUUCACUCUGUGAGGAAAAAAACAUGCAGCAGAGGAAACACAGUCUGAUUCCUUUGACUCCCUCAAGUCUUUUCUAACACUGGAAGUGAGGCACCAAUCUUAAGUUUCUCAGGGAGAGAAAGAAGUUACAGCUGUGUCAGUGGUUUACGGGCUGGUUCGGCCCGGUUCCAUGAUUAAUGGGGCAAUGGGACCCAUGUACCCAUGCCUUGGGAAAGGGAAAAUGGGAAAAGAGGAAAGGGCAGGGAGGGAUACGGGCCUGAAAACAAAACAGCGGCAACAAUCUGAGGAGGAAAGCUAUUUGUGCAAGAUAACACAAUAUAGUACAGUGUAAUUGGAAUGAAGCUAAUAAAAUCAAAUCAAAUGAGAUAGAGUGUGUCCAGAAACGGAAGGCCCUACUCUAGUGCUGAAGGUGAGACAGCUGCCAGGAUGAGCAGAAAGGGUAAAGAGAGUGUCUCAAGACCUGCGGACAGUGUUAUCUUUCUCUCUCAACGGAAAACAGAAACAGAACAAUGCAAAGUCCUCUGGAGUACGUCGUUUUUCUCUUCUGAGAACCAGGUACUUGGUGAACUUGGUACUUGUCCACGGUCCACAAAACAGGAGCAUUAACUCUUUAACUCCCAGUGCACUGCAUGAUGUUAUGAUGUGGAAUACCGAUAACAAAAAUUAUAAAACUAUGCCAUUCCACCCCUUAUUCCACAUCACUACAUCAUGCUUAAUAUAUACAUGCAAACAAACAAUAAUUAACAUGCAUUAAACAUACACACAUAUAUAUACAUGUAUAUACGUGGAACGACUGACUGCACUCCCCCAAUAUCAAAUUCCCUUGUGGUAUACAUUGAACAUUCCUGUAUUUCUGCAUCACCCACUGAGUGGACACAGGUUCCCUGGGCAAAAACAGUUCCAUGGAGAGGUUUGCCCUUCCCAGAAUCUAGAAGGACACAAACUACUUUUCCUAACAUGUUCUUUGCGUGUACUAUAGGGACCUUAUCUUCCACUACAUUGUGUAGGGGGCUGGAUUGGGCAGGACUAUCUUGACUGAUAGAUCCUUGACUAUUGUCCAAGCAGGUAGCUUCUGCCAAAUGCUCCCCCCAGUGCCUAAACAUUCCACCACUCACUGUUUUCAACAUAGUUUUUUAACAACCCAUUAUAUUAUUCAAUUUCACCAGAAGCUGGUGCAUGAUAAGGGAUAUGAUCUUUGGCCCAAAUAUUUACAAGAGAAUUUUUGAAAUGAAUCCCUUUAUCUGAUUCAAUUCUUUCUGGAGUGUCAUGUCACCAUUGGACUUGUUUCUUGAGAUUUAAUAUGGUGUUUCGGGCAGCAGCAUGGGGUACUGCAUAUGUUUCAAGCCACCCAGUGGUUGCCACCACCGUGGUAGACUGUGUUUUUGCAGAGGAAGUUUCCAGGAAUUUCUGUUUACAGUUACAGAAGUUUUUCACAACGAAAGCUGAACAGACUGAAGUUGCGGUUGAGGCAUACUGACUUGGGUAGAAAUGAGACAGGCACAAGACUAGGGAAAUAUGCAGGGUGGAGAGAGCAUAACACAGGACAGAACAAUAUGCUAACUUUUGGAAACAUUGCCCUCCUAUCUCCAUAGAAAAGUACAAAACAUACCUAAAAACAACAUGUUGGUAACAGACCUUAUAUGGAGAUGUAAUGUAGCAGCAGCAUCGGGAAAAUUGUGAGUCUGAGAUGCCCAACCAAUGAGUGCCAGGGUAGAGAUUGUCUGCAUUGGACCCAGGGUAUAUAACGGAAUGGAUUUCACUGACUAGGCAUGCAAUUUCUCACUUGCCAGUAGGGUGCAUGUGCCCGUUGCAAUAAUUAAUAAACUUGUGGUUUUCACAAA
This is a long non-coding RNA of Gallus gallus (chicken), 7385 nucleotides long. RefSeq lists it as uncharacterized. The transcript has 10 exons. Lineage: Eukaryota; Metazoa; Chordata; Aves; Galliformes; Phasianidae. The record is from RefSeq and is a predicted model, not a curated record.